Molecule: non-coding RNA, 642 nt
Organism: Corylus avellana
Lineage: Eukaryota; Viridiplantae; Streptophyta; Magnoliopsida; Fagales; Betulaceae
Source: RefSeq, a predicted model, not a curated record
UAUCCUACAAAACCCAAUCAAGCAAAAGAACAAUAAAGUGCACAUUAAUGUCCCCAUGCAAGAUGAAGUUAAUUACAAUUCUUGCGUGCUUGAUAUUCGUCUCAUGCAUGAGUGAAGUGAUGAUCCUCUCAAUCUCGGCUCUUGAAAGCCCUUUAGAACAUCAAGCUUGCAAGCUCUCAAAUCGCCUCAUGCAGGAACAAGAUCAAGUUCAUGCAGGACAUGAUGAAAAAGGUUACAAGGAAAAGCAAGAAAUAUAUGAUUCGGGAAAAUCUCAGAGAGGGAAGCAGGGAGCCUAUGGUGGUGCAAAUAUUGUUCAUCGACCAAGCCCAGGUGAAAAAAAUGCAGCAUCAAUGGAAGCAAAGCCCCGAUUUGUCAUCUCAACCUUAAUAUUCUAUGUAAGCUUGGGCUUAAUCCUUGGUUUUUCCUUCCAACUAGUCUAAAUAUAUGUGGAUGCAGUGAAGGUUGAGUUUUUUGUGUGGCAGAGUUUUGGGCUUCCUUGAACGUUCUGUGUGUAAUAUUUAUUGUUGAUCGAUUACACUAGACAUGUAAUUUUUCAAGAUUUUGUUGUUAUUUGUAAUAUUACGCAGAGUGGGAAAGAUUUUAUUCUACUGGCCGUACUAGUCAUGUGAUUUGCAAAGACUC